This 241-nucleotide ribosomal RNA is filed under the name uncultured bacterium. RNAcentral describes it as "partial 16S ribosomal RNA". It matches the Rfam family "Bacterial small subunit ribosomal RNA", at positions 524 to 763 of the family's 1533-position model. The record is from RNAcentral.
UACGUAGGGUGCGAGCGUUAAUCGGAAUUACUGGGCGUAAAGGGUGCGCAGGCGGUUUUGUAAGCCAGAUGUGAAAUCCCCGGGCUUAACCUGGGAAUGGCAUUUGGGACUGCAAGGCUGGAGUACGGCAGAGGAGACUGGAAUUCCUGGUGUAGCAGUGAAAUGCGUAGAUAUCAGGAGGAAUACCGAUGGCGGAAGGCAGGUCUCUGGGCUGAUACUGACGCUCAUGCACGAAAGCGUG